AUGGAUUUAGUAAUCAAAGGUCAAAACAAAAUCACUGUUCUGCAGAAUUCAUAGGGUCGGGUUCAACAGAUAACAGGAUAGGCAUAUGAAUUCCAAAUUUAUCACUCUAUGUGUCAAAAGAAAGGUUUACAAGUCUAGUUUCGAAUGAAGUCAGUUUUGUACAAAUCAGAAUUUCCAACAGGAACUUAUAGGUAUUUUAGU
RNAcentral lists this long non-coding RNA (201 nucleotides) under Musa acuminata (dwarf banana). RNAcentral's name for it is "long non-coding RNA (MACU_LNC011669)". The record is from RNAcentral. Lineage: Eukaryota; Viridiplantae; Streptophyta; Magnoliopsida; Zingiberales; Musaceae.